Non-coding RNA from Phasianus colchicus (ring-necked pheasant), 3874 nucleotides. Lineage: Eukaryota; Metazoa; Chordata; Aves; Galliformes; Phasianidae. The record is from RefSeq and is a predicted model, not a curated record.
UUUUAGGUCUUUUGCAACCUUGGUGAUUCUAUGAUUCUAUGAAUUUGCAAGUGGGAGCUGUGCACGGGGACAGAGCUCUGCAAUGGAGAUGGAGCUAUGUAAUGGGGAAGAAACUGCAGCGCAGAGGGAACCACGCACUGAAAAAGCUGUGCAACGACCGAUCCGUGCAGUGGCUGAUCUUUGCACCGGGGACGGAGCCACGCUGUGAGGAAGGAGCCGUAAUGGAGCAAUCCUUGCAAUGGACAGCCAGCCGUGCCCAGGGGAGCAGCACAGCGUGAGGAGUUGUGCCGUGGGGCCGUGCAGUGGGGCAGCCCCUGGCCGUGCAGCCGUCCCCACACCGUUCCCACCCCGCCAUGCCUGGCUGGGCCGCAUUGGGCCAUGCGGUGGAAACACAGCUGGGGGUGGGCGGCCCGCCGUCACCCCACCGUGACGGGGAGCAGGAGGCCGUGGGUCUGUGCCGCGCCCCGUGGAGCCCCGCGCCUCCAUCCCGGCCCUGCAGCUCCACGUGAGCCCGCAGAGCCCCGCAGCACGGCGCCCGCUGCGAGCCCUGCGCCGUCCCCAACCUGCCAUGCCACCACGGGUCAGCACGGUGCGGCACUGCGACAUCACGGCCACGCUGAGAGCCCCCCGCCCGGCCUUCUGCGUGUGUGUGUGUGUGUGUGUGUGUGUGCGUGUGCCACGUGCGGCCAACCCCCCACAAAAGGCCGCGGGGCGGAGGGAGGAGGCGGAACGUUUUGGCAGCGGAACGUUCGUUCCGGGGCGCUGUGUUCCCGCCGGAACUCGCUCGGAACGGAGCGCCCCCUGCGCACUGCCGGCGCCGCCAGAAUCACUCCAAAAGAAGCUCUGCUGGCAGGAUGCUGCUCUCCCUGCUCUCCCCCCGCGUGAGCUGGCCUGCACGAUGCCUCCUCUGUGACUUGCACCGCUGGGGGCUGCAUGGGCAGAAGAAGGCUGACUCUCCCCGCAGAGGUGUGCAAACCACAUGGACAGCCAGCAGCCACCACGUCAGCCCUGUCUUCACGAGGGCUUUGACUUUCGGUGAUAAAGUCGCCGUUGUUGACCAAAAUGGUGAGCACACAUACAAGGAGCUUUUCUGCCAGAGCCUCCGCUUGUCCCAGGAGAUCUGUAGAGUCCUGCAGUGCUCCAGCAGGGACUUGAAGGAGGAGAGGAUCUCGUUUUUGUGCCCCAAUGAUGCCUCGUAUGUGGUUGCCCAGUGGGCUUCCUGGAUGAGUGGAGGCAUAGCAGUUCCCCUUUACAAGAAGCACCCUGUGCAGCAACUGGAGUACGUGAUUGAGGAUUCGCAGAGCGCUCUCGUCAUCGCAACAGAUGAAUAUGUGGGGAAAAUAUCCCCCAGUGCUGAGAAGCUGGGAGUCCCAGUGCUGCCAUUCAGGUUUCGUAGCAAUGGAUCUGCAGAUCAUACAGCAGUGGAAGAUGUGCCCUUGGCAUCCAGUGCUUCCUGGAAGGACAGGGGAGCCAUGAUAAUCUACACGAGUGGGACAACGGGGAGACCAAAGGGUGUCCUCAGCACCCACGAGAAUGUGCAGGCGGUGACCACAGGGCUGGUUGAAAAAUGGGAGUGGAAGAAAGAAGAUGUUAUUCUGCACGUGCUGCCUUUGCAUCAUGUCCACGGGGUGAUCAAUAAGCUGCUCUGUCCUCUCUGGGUGGGAGCGACAUGCAUCAUGCUGCCCGAAUUCAGCGCGCAGAUGGUUUGGAAGAAGUUCUUGAGCUCCCAGGCUCCCCGUGUCAGCGUCUUCAUGGCAGUGCCCACUAUCUAUGCCAAGCUGAUAGAAUACUACGACGAGCAUUUCUCUCAGCCCCAAGUGCAGGACUUUGUGCGUGCCUUUUGCCAGGAGAACAUCAGGUUGAUGGUGUCAGGCUCUGCAGCACUGCCUGUGCCCGUCCUGAAGAAGUGGAAGGCCAUCACUGGGCACACGUUGCUGGAGAGGUAUGGGAUGACAGAGAUUGGGAUGGCACUUUCCAACCCUCUGCAUGGAGUCCGUGUCCCAGGUUCUGUUGGGACCCCACUGCCCGGGGUGGAGGUGCGCAUUGCCUCCGAGAAGGUGAAAGGUGGUGGCCGUUCCUACACCAUCCACGCUCAGGGAGAUGAACACGGCACACAGGUGACUCCGGGUCUGGAAGGGCAGGAAGGGGAGCUGCUGGUCCGUGGCUCCUCGGUGUUCCGUGAGUACUGGAACAGGCCUAAAGAAACCAGAGAGGCUUUCACACCCGAUGGAUGGUUCAGGACAGGAGACACAGCAGCCUACCACGAUGGUGUUUACUGGAUCAAGGGCCGCACCUCGGUGGACAUCAUCAAGAACGGGGGCUUCAAAAUCAGUGCUCUGGAGGUGGAGCGGCAGCUGCUCGCACACCCACACAUCACAGACGUGGCCGUCAUCGGACCCCCGGACGUGGUGUGGGGGCAGCGGGUCAGCGCCGUGGUGCAGCUGCGCAGGGGGGAGAUGCUGUCGGUGAAGGAGCUGAAGGAAUGGGCCAGGGACACCAUGGCCCCCUACGCCAUCCCCACUGAGCUGAUAGUGGUGGAGGAGAUCCCACGCAACCAGAUGGGGAAAGUCAACAAGAAGGAGCUCCUGCAGCGCUUCUACCCGGCGUAGUGCGCAGCCUGGGAGCCCCAUCCUCUGCCCCGAGGGCUCUCCGCUCCUCAGCGUGGAAUAAAGCCCCCAAAAAUGAGAUGGGUGGACACGCAGCAACCACAAGGGAAGGGCAGCACAGCAAGCAACAAUGGGGAGAGACAAGGUCACCGGAGAAUAAAUCGCAGCGAGAGCUCUUCAUGAUCCAUCAUCCCCGACAAGCCCGGCACCCAGCGCCGGCGCCGUGACAAGAUCAUUAAUAAAACUCCAUAGGAGCGCGAUCGAUCGCUUUGAUGGAUGAUCACAGGUAGCAAAUAGUGCAGAACACCUGGUUGUCACCCUGCAGUGAGGGGCUCACACGGCCUGGGGGUGCCCCGUGGUCCCUGUGGAUGGGGUUGGUGAUGUGAGGUCCAUCUCCAUGCCCACUGAGCGAGGCAGAGUUUGGUGCGUGGAGCACCAAUGUGGGGAUGUGUGUCCCAAAGCCACGUGCUCUGCUCCCCCCACAUUGGGGGUGCAGGGCUGCGUGCAACCCCCCCUGAGUCUCCCAGCACUUCACUUGCCAGCCACGUCUGCAUCGACGCUCCCAUCAUAUGUACACAACCACUCCAUUACGUGUGGUGGCCAUGAAGCCAUCCAUCUCCUUCACGGGGGGCUGCAGGGGUGUGUGGGGUGGCAGCAGGACGGUGGGUGGGUGGGAGCAGACAGACAGAUGGGGACAGGCCAGUGAGUGCCAGGGCUGUGUGGCACUGUGUCCCCUCAGCCACCCCCAGCCCUGCUACCCCCAGGCUUCACUGUAUGGGGGCAGAGGGCAGCCUUCGUCCCACGUCCCCUCUCACAUGUCCCCAGCCUGUGUCCUAUGUCUCAUGUCCUUCUUCAUGUCCCAUGUCUCACAUCCUCUGUCCUAUGUCCUAUGUUCCUUGCCCUGUCCCCUGUCCCUGUUCCCUGCCUCCGUGCCCCAUUUCCCACCCCCCAUCCCACAGAGCUUUGCAGCAGAUGCCCUGUGCAGGGGGAAAGGGGGGGUUGAGUGUGGUUAGGGCACUCUCAAAAGCGAGAACUCCACUCCAUGUCACCAAAACGCCGCAUCUUCCCCUGCCAGGGACAAAGGCCAGGGGACACGGCCCCUCUGCCCAGCCCUGGGGAGGGGGCAUCGGCUGCAGCCCGCCCCCCCCGGUCGCCCCCGCCGCUCCCGCUGCGGCCCCCCCUGGGUGCGGGGACAGCGGUGGCCGGAGCGAUGCUGCCACCUGGUGCCACUACCUCACCGAGCUGUGGGGAUGGGAUGGGAUGGGAUG